ACCUGCCUUUCCUAAAGCCACUUAUAGUGGCUGUACCUGAUCAGCUGGUUGUCCUGCAUGUGCCACAUGGUAGCACUCAGGAUGAUUGCUGGUCAAAGCCCCACUCAGCCUGACCUUGGAUACUGCCAAAGAUGGGACAUCACUGGCUUUCUGCAAAGCAGACACUGUAAUAUGAGAUUAAAAAUACAUUUAAAACCAAGCUUAAUCCUGCUGAGUAAUAUGACCCUGAGUAUUGCUGAUUCCAAGUAAAUUAACCCAUCUUCAGCCUUCCUGAAGCCCAUGUUUAAUGAAAAAGCUGUGUCAACUUAAAAUAACACUGUGGCUGCUUUCAAGUGUCAUUCGUAGGUCAGUGAUUGCUAAUAGGAUACAGUCAGGCCCUUCUCCAUGUCAACAGUACACAGCUGUCUCAGUGCUUUGGAGGAAUGAUGUGAAGAGUUUUCAAGAUGAGCAACAGCAGAUGUUUAGUGGAGAAAUGCCUUGAAAGUCAGCCAGCUCACUACACUGGGUCAGACCAAAGAACCAUCCAGCCAAAAAUCUUGUUCCCAGAAGAUGCCCUCAAGAGAAUGCAACAGAGGAAAUACGUACAGUUAUUUCUAGGGAAUAUUUCCUGCACCUCUGGUGACUUCUGACAUGGGUGCUUCAUGGAGCAGUUGGUUAUAUAGCCUAAGACAUUAAUUCCCUGGUUUUAUCAUAUGUCUUUUACUUCUAAUCAAUACCCCUGCUACUUAUGUGAAAAUGCCAGGUGAACCACUGGCUUUUAACCCCUUUCUCUGUCAUUAUUUUUUUACAUAUCUCAGUCAUACAAUUCCUCAACAGACCAAUGAAUCUUUGUUAACCUAAUUGUUAAAAACUUACUCUUUUCAAGAUCUAAAUUUUGAGUUGUAAUCACUUGUUCAUAUCCCAUUAGAGUGUGGGAAAAGUUAAUAUUGUUUUUCUUCAUGCGCAUUGCUAUACAUUUAUCUACUGUAUUUUUAGCAGUUCUUUUAUCUCUCAUUCAGUAUAAUGAGCUUCUUCCUCAGCCCUUUCUCUUGUUUUUUCACUUGCUUCCUCCCGAGUUUCUUAUUUUUAUCCAUGUGUUUUGAAGAGGAUAUAUCAAGAAAUCUCAGUUUGAAUUGUUAAUAGAUUACAGGUUAAAUAGAACAAAAUAGCUGCUGGUCCUAUGAUAGUAUUUUGUUUCUAUGCAAUGGUCUUACAGACAUAUGUAUUCCCUGUUUUGUCCUUAAGAAGAUGAAAAGGGGUAAUUCCAACUUUACGCUCUACCAUAAAGUCGUUAGUAGAGUAUGGCUUCAAAAAAAUACAUAUUUGAAUCUUAGACUAGAUUGACACCUUCAUACACUUUUGCUGUUCUUGGCCAUUAAUGUUCAGAUCAAGCAGCAGGGUUUCUGCAGGUAUAAGUAGUUUGGAACUGUGGGAAAAAAUAAAUAAUUCUUUCUAUUGUUUUUCAAAUAUCAAAUCUUUGAAAUUGUCUGGGAAAGACCCAUUUGCUUUAGGAAUUUACAGCAGUUUUAACAGUUUAGCAUUUUGACAUGAAUAUUUCUGUGCUGCAGUUUCAUAGCUUGGGGUUAAUAGAUUUUUGACCAAGUGAUGGUGGCCAAGUUUCCCCUUCAAUUAAUUAACCUAAUUAAGCUAAUGAAUAGCUGCAAUGUACAUUUUCUAAAAUUCUAACUUUUACUUCCAUUGAGAUGCUUUUUCUUUAUGCUGAUACCCUACUGAAGCAUUUGAUUGAAGUGUAAGGGACUCAAAUGGAAACAUUAAACUGCCUAUGUGACCUGCUCUUUUUUUUUUUUUUUUUUUUGCUGCCAAAUGCUCUUAAAUUACCUAGAAUAUUGCAGAAUAUUUAUCAAGUUGUUCCAUAA
Passer domesticus (house sparrow) is the source of this 1856-nucleotide long non-coding RNA. RefSeq lists it as uncharacterized. The record is from RefSeq and is a predicted model, not a curated record. Lineage: Eukaryota; Metazoa; Chordata; Aves; Passeriformes; Passeridae. The transcript has 3 exons.